AGUGAACGCUGGCGGUAGGCCUAACACAUGCAAGUCGAACGGCAGCACAGUAAGAGCUUGCUCUUACGGGUGGCGAGUGGCGGACGGGUGAGGAAUACAUCGGAAUCUACUUUUUCGUGGGGGAUAACGUAGGGAAACUUACGCUAAUACCGCAUACGACCUACGGGUGAAAGCAGGGGAUCUUCGGACCUUGCGCGAUUGAAUGAGCCGAUGUCGGAUUAGCUAGUUGGCGGGGUAAAGGCCCACCAAGGCGACGAUCCGUAGCUAGUCUGAGAGGAUGAUCAGCCACACUGGAACUGAGACACGGUCCAGACUCCUACGGGAGGCAGCAGUGGGGAAUAUUGGACAAUGGGCGCAAGCCUGAUCCAGCCAUACCGCGUGGGUGAAGAAGGCCCUCGGGUUGUAAAGCCCUUUUGUUGGGAAAGAAAAGCAGCAGGUUAAUACCCCGCUGUUCUGACGGUACCCAAAGAAUAAGCACCGGCUAACUUCGUG
Molecule: ribosomal RNA, 492 nt
Filed under: uncultured bacterium
Lineage: Bacteria
Description: partial 16S ribosomal RNA
Rfam family: Bacterial small subunit ribosomal RNA
Source: RNAcentral